CACGUAGGGUGCAAGCGUUGUCCGGAAUCAUUGGGCGUAAAGAGCUCGUAGGCGGCUUAGUAAGUCGGGUGUGAAAACCCCAGGCUCAACCUGGGGACGCCACCCGAUACUGCUAUAGCUAGAGUCCAGUAGGGGAGUGUGGAAUUCCCGGUGUAGCGGUGAAAUGCGCAGAUAUUGGGAGGAACACCAGCGGCGAAGGCGGCACUCUGGGCUGGUACUGACGCUGAGGAGCGAAAGCGUGGGUAGCGAACAGG
Molecule: ribosomal RNA, 254 nt
Filed under: uncultured bacterium
Lineage: Bacteria
Description: partial 16S ribosomal RNA
Rfam family: Bacterial small subunit ribosomal RNA
Source: RNAcentral